Molecule: transfer RNA, 72 nt
Filed under: Vischeria cf. polyphem
Lineage: Eukaryota; Eustigmatophyceae; Eustigmatales; Chlorobotryaceae
Description: Eustigmatos cf. polyphem tRNA-Lys
Rfam family: tRNA
About the family: Transfer RNA (tRNA) molecules are approximately 80 nucleotides in length. Their secondary structure includes four short double-helical elements and three loops (D, anti-codon, and T loops). Further hydrogen bonds mediate the characteristic L-shaped molecular structure. tRNAs have two regions of fundamental functional importance: the anti-codon, which is responsible for specific mRNA codon recognition, and the 3' end, to which the tRNAs corresponding amino acid is attached (by aminoacyl-tRNA synthetases). tRNAs cope with the degeneracy of the genetic code in two manners: having more than one tRNA (with a specific anti-codon) for a particular amino acid; and 'wobble' base-pairing, i.e. permitting non-standard base-pairing at the 3rd anti-codon position.
Source: RNAcentral
AAGUAUAUAGCUCAAAAAGGUAGAGCAAAUUUUUUUUUAUUUUAGUUUUGAGUUCGAAUCUCAAUAUGCUUU